RNAcentral lists this ribosomal RNA (782 nucleotides) under uncultured bacterium. RNAcentral describes it as "bacterial SSU rRNA". It matches the Rfam family "Bacterial small subunit ribosomal RNA", at positions 62 to 832 of the family's 1533-position model. The record is from RNAcentral.
UCAGGGAGAAGUCUCUUCGGGGAUGAUUAAACCGGCGCACGGGUGAGUAACACGUGAGUGACCUGCCUUUUAGACUGGAACAACUUACCGAAAGGUGAGCUAAUGCCGGAUGAGUUAUAUAAGUGCAUGUUUAUAUAGGAAAAGUUGGGGAGACCUGACGCUGAAAGAUGGACUCGCGUCCCAUUAGCUAGUUGGUAGGGUAAUGGCCUACCAAGGCGACGAUGGGUAGCCGGCCUGAGAGGGUGGCCGGCCACACUGGGACUGAGACACGGCCCAGACUCCUACGGGAGGCAGCAGUGGGGAAUUUUGCGCAAUGCUCGUAAGAGUGACGCAGCGACGCCGCGUGAAUGACGAAGGCCUUCGGGUCGUAAAGUUCUUUCGACAGGGAAGAAAAUGCCUAUAAGUAACUGUGUAUGUAUUGACGGUACCUGUAUAAGCAGCCCCGGCUAACUCCGUGCCAGCAGCCGCGGUAAUACGGAGGGGGCGAGCGUUGUUCGGAGUGACUGGGCGUAAAGAGCACGCAGGCGGUGUUGUAAGUCAUUAGUCAAAGACUAGAGCUCAACUUUAGUAAGGCUAGUGAUACUAUAAUACUAGAGUAUCAGAGAGGAUUGCAGAAUUCCUGGUGUAGCGGUGAAAUGCGUAGAUAUCAGGAGGAAUACCGUUAGCGAAGGCGGCAAUCUGGCUGGAAACUGACGCUGAGGUGCGAAAGCGUGGGUAGCAAACAGGAUUAGAUACCCUGGUAGUCCACGCUGUAAACGAUGGAUGCUAGGUGUUGGGCUUUU